AUUUAGUGAUAGCUGGCUUCUGAGUGAUAUUUACCUAAGCUCUCCUUUUUUAUUGGUAUUUUCCAGACUGCAAACAUAACAGAAAGUUCUGUCCAUGUGACUCCAAGAUAUUGCAGGUGACUGUCAGCUUGAUGCAGAAAUUCACUUUGUCUCACUGCAUCACAGUUUAUGAAGUACAAUGCAAAUUCUUUGGUCUUUAGGGCAUGUCAUUUCCAUGUUCAGUUUUUGAAAUUAAUUUACACCAUUGCAAGACAAAGAAAGUGGAAAUUUUCCUGCUGUCAUACCCACCUCUGUUACCAGCCUUCCCUUUCGUUUCAGCAGUGUCUAGCAGGGAGCCCUUAUCUGCAUAUGAUGUUCACAAAGGGCCUGCUGGAACAUCCAAGUCCAGUCUGCACUUGUGAAGCACCUGCUCUGCAGACUGUCAGGUGCAUUACAGCUUGUAUGGCUCUAUGGUUCUUCUGUAGACAAUUGCCAUCUGCGCUUAGAGGCAUUAUUAUCUUUACAACAGAAGCCAAGUGACAAAUGUAUCCGGUGCACCAACCACUAUUGUGGAGGAAUGAAGAGGGGAGAAGGAAGGUCUGUUUUACACUGGUUUGAAGUCUAUUUAAUUUUGCCAGUGCAAGCGAAGUCUUGGAACUCUGCAGAAGUUUCUGUUGAGUAUAUCUGUUUAAAUUGCUUAUAAUGAAGCACCAUGAGCUUUUAAAAUAAGAGCUAAACAGAAGCUAACUAUAAAAUGAAUAGUAACUUUAAUGAAUUUUGCUUAUUUCUCUUUCCUUAUGAAUUGCUCAGAAACAGAUUGAAUUUCUUUGUUUCAAAAUAAAGCUAUUUGAAUUACUCUUGAUCUGUUUAAA
RNAcentral lists this long non-coding RNA (851 nucleotides) under Anser brachyrhynchus (Pink-footed goose). RNAcentral describes it as "lncRNA (ENSABRG00000018176.1)". The record is from RNAcentral. Lineage: Eukaryota; Metazoa; Chordata; Aves; Anseriformes; Anatidae.